UGCUGCCAUGGCUGUCUAUUCA
Molecule: non-coding RNA, 22 nt
Filed under: Arabidopsis thaliana (thale cress)
Lineage: Eukaryota; Viridiplantae; Streptophyta; Magnoliopsida; Brassicales; Brassicaceae
Source: RNAcentral